This 30-nucleotide non-coding RNA is filed under the name Rattus norvegicus (Norway rat). The record is from RNAcentral. Lineage: Eukaryota; Metazoa; Chordata; Mammalia; Rodentia; Muridae.
UAGAAUUGCUACUCUAUUGGCCUGCUGACC